Long non-coding RNA from Scylla paramamosain (green mud crab), 1297 nucleotides. RefSeq lists it as uncharacterized. The record is from RefSeq and is a predicted model, not a curated record. The transcript has 6 exons. Lineage: Eukaryota; Metazoa; Arthropoda; Malacostraca; Decapoda; Portunidae.
AGCCUCGGUACCAGGUGAUGGUGGGAGUGGGAGAGCCCUUGGCAACACAGGUUAUUGUCACCACAUCAUUCUCCUCUAUUGUGACAGUGUCAUCAAAGCUUAUGAUGUGAGGCCUCUCACCAUGCUCUGGAAACAAAGAAAAUGAAACCAACAUCAUCAUACCUAGAAUAGUUGGAGUGAUUUCUGGCUCAUGGAUGUGGUCAGCCUCGUUUUCAUCACUGACAGGACUCACACAUGAGUACCCACAACCAUUGUAGCAACACUUCAGAGUGCCAUCACAGGCGGCAUCAUUCUGGCACUCGUUAUCACACUGAAGCACAGAACUCGUUGCAUGCAUUAAAGGUCUUAAAGCGGUUUUGGUUUCCGCCACAUCCACCAUACAGAAACAUAACACAAGAGCCAUGCGUUUUGCUGAAGUGCCAGCGUUUGUAACCCUCAGCACAGGGUCCAGCAUCUUCAUCUAAUUCACAGAUCACUUGGGAAAAAAUAAGGCCACCAUAAGUAAAAUGCCUGCAGCGCCUCACUGAGGCAUCAUAGUACCACUUGGGCAGGGCUUCAUUGCAUGGACCAGGAUUUGCUGUAGUAAUGCUCUGGAGUGCUCACCUUGGUUGCGGUAUUUGCCACACUGCCGCUCACAAAGCUCCACACUCUGGAACCUGUUAGCAUUGCCAGCACAGCCACCAUAAAAGAAGGCAAUACAGCUCUCGGUGUCAACAUCAUAGUACCAGUUGGAUGUUGCUGCUCACCACUACCACAACACCAGCAAGUGGAAUGGUGAAUCACCAUCACCAGGAUUUGUUAAUUAUAAUUUACUGAUGACAUCCUAGUCACUUCUUAUUAUAUGGCUACAAUGGUGGUGAUAUGUGAUCAUGGACUAAUUUAAUUAUCCCUCGGCUUUUCCACAGGUACUGUGAAAAAGUACUGUGCACCACCUCAUCACUAUGCUUAACCAACUGUGUAAGACUCAGUUGUUGGCUUUGAUGCUUAUGAAGAACUGCCCUGUGUGCUAAGAUUUUUUUUUUUUUUUUUUUUUUUUGACGAAAAUUGCCUCAUGGAGGAGAAACGAGUCUUUUUCCAGAGUUUGAGGAAAAUUUGCAUGUGCUUUUUGUUGAAUUAUUGUAUUUUGGAUUUGCUUUGCUUGUUUCAUACAUGUAUAUUCUGAGAGUUAAAAUAUACUCUCGCUACCAUUUACUCAGCCUCUCCUUUCAUUUUCAACCCUUCAUCUGUCUUACCUGCUCUUAUCUUUCAUGUCUCAUGAGCACUUCAGUCUCCCCUCUAGUCUUUUCCCCAUCAUCUG